RNAcentral lists this ribosomal RNA (1110 nucleotides) under Spilopsyllus cuniculi (rabbit flea). Its description in RNAcentral is "SSU rRNA". It matches the Rfam family "Eukaryotic small subunit ribosomal RNA", at positions 166 to 1226 of the family's 1831-position model. The record is from RNAcentral. Lineage: Eukaryota; Metazoa; Arthropoda; Insecta; Siphonaptera; Pulicidae.
CUAUACAUGCAAAUAGAGUUCCGACCAGAGAUGGAAGGAAUGCUUUUAUUAGAUCAAAACCAAUCGGUGGCGGGCUUGCCUUGCAACCGUUUGACUUGGUGACUCUGAAUAACUUUGUGCUGAUCGCACGGUCUCGUACCGGCGACGCAUCUUUCAAAUGUCUGCCUUAUCAACUGUCGAUGGUAGUUUCUGCGACUACCAUGGUUGUUACGGGUAACGGGGAAUCAGGGUUCGAUUCCGGAGAGGGAGCCUGAGAAACGGCUACCACAUCCAAGGAAGGCAGCAGGCGCGCAAAUUACCCACUCCCGGCACGGGGAGGUAGUGACGAAAAAUAACGAUACGGGACUCAUCCGAGGCCCCGUAAUCGGAAUGAGUACACUUUAAAUCCUUUAACGAGGAUCUAUUAGAGGGCCAGUCUGGUGCCAGCAGCCGCGGUAAUUCCAGCUCUAAUAGCGUAUAUUAAAGUUGUUGCGGUUAAAAAGCUCGUAGUUGAAUCUGUGUCCCACACUGUCGGUUCACCGCUCGCGGUGUUCAACUGGCAUGUCUGUGGGACGUCCUACCGGUGGGCUUAGCCCGUCAAAAGGCGGCCCAACUCAAAAUCCUACCACGGUGCUCUUCACCGAGUGUCGAGGUGGGCCGGUACGUUUACUUUGAACAAAUUAGAGUGCUUAAAGCAGGCUCAUUCGCCUGAAUAUUGUGUGCAUGGAAUAAUGGAAUAGGACCUCGGUUCUAUUUUGUUGGUUUUCGGAAUUCCGAGGUAAUGAUUAAUAGGGACAACUGGGGGCAUUCGUAUUGCGACGUUAGAGGUGAAAUUCUUGGAUCGUCGCAAGACGGACAGAAGCGAAAGCAUUUGCCAAAUGUGUUUUCAUCAAUCAAGAACGAAAGUUAGAGGUUCGAAGGCGAUCAGAUACCGCCCUAGUUCUAACCAUAAACGAUGCCAGCUAGCGAUCCGCCGAAGUUCCUCCGAUGACUCGGCGGGCAGCUUCCGGGAAACCAAAGCUUUUGGGUUCCGGGGGAAGUAUGGUUGCAAAGCUGAAACUUAAAGGAAUUGACGRAAGGGCACCACCAGGAGUGGAGCCUGCGGCUUAAUUUGACUCAACACGGAAACCU